UCUCGAAUAGCAUUUGUAUGAAUAUGAAAUCAGCAAGUGCGGUGCUUUUGCCUUGUAUAGAUUGGAACUUAGGAUUGUAGAAGGCAAGAAAAGUCUAAAAGUGGUUUGACCUGGUAAGGGGUACAUUAAUCAAUUGCGCCAAAAGGCUUAGAUGGGUAGAGAUAAUUUAUAAUUGUGUUCAUCACAGAUUGCAAUGUUUAUUAAUAUGUCCAUUGCACUAACCUUUUUAAUAUGUAAAAGGAAAAGAUAUUCUGCUCAAUAUAUCAGAAGACGAGAGCCUUGAGGUAAAAUUGAGCAGGGUGAACAUCGAUGCUUUCAUACUGGUAUAUUAUUUUUUACCUUACACAUUAGUCGGCUUGCUCUUUUUUUAAUGAUAUUUUUCUCGCUAUCCUUACUAGAUUAAAUUAAAUUGCAUGAUUUAUAUGUAACUGGAACAGACACUUUUGCUGUCAUUAUAGAAUGGGCGCUUUUGUUGUUAAUUCUUACUAAUUUACGACCUGUUUAGUUUUUUGACUGCCUUCCCCUUCUUUUAAUAACAAAGUUGUUCUGAAUUUUUUUAUUUAAAGAUUUUGUGUAAAGGGUCUUAGUCUGGAAACGAAAUUGCAUGUGAUGUUCAGUAGGAUGCUCAACGAGAAAUUGCCUUCCAGGAGUGGCAUAGGCAUAGUAUGUGUAUCCCCUCGAGUAGUUCAGACCAACUUUGUAAGUUUCUUGAAGAUCUAUUCUUUUUAUAUGUAGUUUCCAAUUGGGAUUUUAAUGACCCAAAGGUAUAGUUGCAAAGCAUUUGGCCGAGGAGGCUCGUACUAGGAAAAGCAGCGAUGAUAUUUCCUGCAUUGUUGCAACUGUUCCUUUGUAUUUGUGUCGGUUUCGUUGAAGGGCUUCUUAUUGGAUUUGUCACUGAGUACUAUACAAGCAAUGCUUACAGCUUUGCUGCUAUGUGCGGUAUUGCAGUAGCUGCCCCGGGAUGUUGAGCACUAUUGCUACUGGGUUGGCCAUUGAUGCAUAUGGUCUCAUUAGUGAUAACGCUGGAGGAAUAGCUGAAAUGGCCGGAAUGAGUGAUAGAAUACGAGAGUGAACUGUGCAGGAAACACCACUGCAGCUCUU
Molecule: long non-coding RNA, 1101 nt
Organism: Daucus carota subsp. sativus
Lineage: Eukaryota; Viridiplantae; Streptophyta; Magnoliopsida; Apiales; Apiaceae
Exons: 3
Source: RefSeq, a predicted model, not a curated record